Non-coding RNA from Syphacia muris, 47 nucleotides. NCBI's taxonomy places the organism in Eukaryota, Metazoa, Nematoda, Chromadorea, Rhabditida, Oxyuridae. The record is from Rfam.
CCAACGGCCCUCUUUAGGGCCACAAUUUGUUAAGUCGAACGUACACU